RNAcentral lists this ribosomal RNA (255 nucleotides) under uncultured bacterium. RNAcentral's name for it is "partial 16S ribosomal RNA". It matches the Rfam family "Bacterial small subunit ribosomal RNA", at positions 524 to 776 of the family's 1533-position model. The record is from RNAcentral.
UACGUAGGGUGCGAGCGUUUGUCCGGAAUUACUGGGCGUAAAGAGCUCGUAGGUGGUUUGUCGCGUUGUUCGUGAAAACUCACAGCUCAACUGUGGGCGUGCGGGCGAUACGGGCAGACUGGAGUACUGCAGGGGAGACUGGAAUUCCUGGUGUAGCGGUGGAAUGCGCAGAUAUCAGGAGGAACACCGGUGGCGAAGGCGGGGUCUCUGGGCAGUAACUGACGCUGAGGAGCGAAAGCAUGGGGAGCGAACAGG